Long non-coding RNA from Lepidothrix coronata (blue-crowned manakin), 352 nucleotides. RefSeq lists it as uncharacterized. The transcript is spliced from 4 exons. NCBI's taxonomy places the organism in Eukaryota, Metazoa, Chordata, Aves, Passeriformes, Pipridae. The record is from RefSeq and is a predicted model, not a curated record.
CAGACGGCAGUUCACACGGAAGGGCACACACAGUGUUGUUACCCUAUCAGCUCGAGGAUAUAUUCGAUGAGCCUCAUGGCCACUAGAAAAUUACAUGCAACUUGAUGUUCAAUUCACUAACAUAGCAAAAAUUUUGAACUCCUAAGUAACAGCCUGUAUAUUUUCAUCUUUCUUCUGAAGUGGAGUUAGUAUUGGGAGGAAUUCCACAUACUAUCUAAAAAGGGAUCUGAAUAUGAUUUCUGCCAAAACAGAAGGAUACAGUUUCUCAUUCUUCCACAGAUACCAAGAAGGACAAGGGUGUUUUUACAAGGGAAAGAUCAACCAGAGACACUUCAAAGAAAAGAAAUAGGAG